This 638-nucleotide ribosomal RNA is filed under the name uncultured ciliate. Its description in RNAcentral is "SSU rRNA". It matches the Rfam family "Eukaryotic small subunit ribosomal RNA", at positions 326 to 971 of the family's 1831-position model. Lineage: Eukaryota; Ciliophora. The record is from RNAcentral.
UGGUAGUGUAUUGGACAACCAUGGCAGUAACGGGUAACGGAGAAUUAGGGUUCGGUUCCGGAGAGGGAGCCUGAGAAACGGCUACCACAUCUAAGGAAGGCAGCAGGCGCGUAAAUUACCCAAUGCAGACUCUGCGAGGUAGUGACAAUACAUAACAACUCGGGGCCCUCACGGGCUUACGGGAUUGCAAUGAGCACAAACUAAAAACCUUAGCGAGGAACAAGUGGAGGGCAAGUCUGGUGCCAGCAGCCGCGGUAAUUCCAGCUCCACUAGCGUAUAUUAAAGUUGUUGCAGUUAAAAGGCUCGUAGUUGAAGUUCUGGCUGCGCACGGCCUCGGAAGCGAUUUCGGGUCGGUUUUGCCUGCAGCCAUCCGUCUGCGAACUGUUGCGGCCUUCACUGGCUUGCUUCAGGGAACAGACCCUUUACUUUGAAAAAAUUAGAGUGUUUAAGGCAGGCUCCGCGCCUGAAUACAUUAGCAUGGAAUAAUGGAAUAGGACGCUUGUCCGUUUGAUUGGUUAUCGGACUGGCGUAAUGAUUAAUAGGGACAGUUGGGGGCAUUAGUAUUUAAUUGUCAGAGGUGAAAUUCUUGGAUUUAUUAAAGACUAACUUAGGCGAAAGCAUUUGUCAAGGAUGUUUUC